This 40-nucleotide ribosomal RNA is filed under the name Cylindrocladiella obpyriformis. Its description in RNAcentral is "partial 18S ribosomal RNA". The record is from RNAcentral. Lineage: Eukaryota; Fungi; Ascomycota; Sordariomycetes; Hypocreales; Nectriaceae.
GUAACAAGGUCUCCGUUGGGGAACCAGCGGAGGGAUCAUU